CAGCCCUUGACAUCCCGGUCGCGGUCUCCAGAGAUGGAGACUUUCAGUUCGGCUGGACCGGUGACAGGUGCUGCAUGGCUGUCGUCAGCUCGUGUCGUGAGAUGUUGGGUUAAGUCCCGCAACGAGCGCAACCCUCGCCCUUAGUUGCCAGCAUUAAGUUGGGCACUCUAAGGGGACUGCCGGUGAUAAGCCGAGAGGAAGGUGGGGAUGACGUCAAGUCCUCAUGGCCCUUACGGGCUGGGCUACACACGUGCUACAAUGGUGGUGACAGUGGGCAGCGAGACCGCGAGGUCGAGCUAAUCUCCAAAAGCCAUCUCAGUUCGGAUUGCACUCUGCAACUCGAGUGCAUGAAGUUGGAAUCGCUAGUAAUCGCGGAUCAGCAUGCCGCGGUGAAUA
This 396-nucleotide ribosomal RNA is filed under the name uncultured bacterium. RNAcentral describes it as "bacterial SSU rRNA". It matches the Rfam family "Bacterial small subunit ribosomal RNA", at positions 975 to 1368 of the family's 1533-position model. The record is from RNAcentral.